This 72-nucleotide transfer RNA is filed under the name Ictidomys tridecemlineatus (thirteen-lined ground squirrel). RNAcentral describes it as "Spermophilus tridecemlineatus (thirteen-lined ground squirrel) tRNA". It matches the Rfam family "tRNA". Rfam says of the family: Transfer RNA (tRNA) molecules are approximately 80 nucleotides in length. Their secondary structure includes four short double-helical elements and three loops (D, anti-codon, and T loops). The record is from Rfam by way of RNAcentral. RNAcentral also lists the same sequence under 1 other name. Lineage: Eukaryota; Metazoa; Chordata; Mammalia; Rodentia; Sciuridae.
GGAGAUGUAGCUCAGUAGUAGAGUAUUUAACUUGCAUGUGUGAGGCCCUGGGUUCAAACCCCAGCAUUGCAA